RNAcentral lists this ribosomal RNA (539 nucleotides) under uncultured bacterium. Its description in RNAcentral is "bacterial SSU rRNA". It matches the Rfam family "Archaeal small subunit ribosomal RNA", at positions 723 to 1262 of the family's 1478-position model. The record is from RNAcentral.
AGUGAAUAGAUACCCAGGUAGUCCCAGCCGUAAACGAUGCUCGCUAGGUGUCAGGCAUGGCGCGACCGUGUCUGGUGCCGCAGGGAAGCCGUGAAGCGAGCCACCUGGGAAGUACGGCCGCAAGGCUGAAACUUAAAGGAAUUGGCGGGGGAGCACAACAACGGGUGGAGCCUGCGGUUUAAUUGGACUCAACGCCGGACAACUCACCGGGGGCGACAGCAAUAUGUAGGCCAAGCUGAAGACUUUGCCUGAAUCGCUGAGAGGAGGUGCAUGGCCGUCGCCAGUUCGUACUGUGAAGCAUCCUGUUAAGUCAGGCAACGAGCGAGACCCGUGCCCACUGUUACCAGCAUGUCCUUUGGGAUGAUGGGUACUCUGUGGGGACCGCCGGUGUCAAAUCGGAGGAAGGUGCGGGCCACGGUAGGUCAGUAUGCCCCGAAUCUCCCGGGCUACACGCGGGCUACAAUGAAUGGGACAAUGGGUCCCUUCCCUGAAAAGGGUUGGUAAUCUCACAAACCCAUCCUUAGUUCGGAUUGAGGGCU